CCCUUGGGGUCCCCCUAAAGUAAGUUUCCCUGUAGGAAACUUUAGGCUACAAGAAGUUUUGGCAUUUGAGAUGCCAAUAUUGGCUUCGCCAGGCCAUCGAGAUUCAAAUAUUUUCUUUUUGAAUCUCGUGCAAACUCGGACCCUAAUUAAGGUAAAGGCCUUACUCUAUUCCUGUCGGAAUAGCGGCCUUGGAAGAGGGAUACCUUUUUGGUUUUAAGCCUGGGUGGGUUCCCCUCCGUGGUACCAGAUACUCGGGUCCCACUCCGGCCCCGCUUCGCUCUUUUCUUUAUCUCAGGUGUUCCAAUUCGGAAAAUUGCAUAAGUGAUCACUGAACCUUCGUUUGGCCUGUUUGGGUGACUCGUUAAUGAUGUGGCAUCUGUCCAAUCACGUGAGUUUAUUCACGGACAAUAGCUCUCGAGGAGCAUUGGUUCGCAGACAAGUGAAGACAGGACGGCAGUGGUCGAGGAUAAAUCACUACUCUGUGAAGUCCUCGAUGAGUAUAAAAGGGGUGGAAACUCCUCUCAUCAGCCAAGGUUGACCGACGGUGGCUCCAUACCAGGGAAUCGAGGGAUUCUUAAGGAGGGAAAGCUGACCAGAAUUCGUGUUGUGUUGAUUUAUAGAUUGGUUGGGAAACGGAUUGGAAAAAAGGAAAGGAACGCAAAAACGCGCUUUUUUUGGAAAUGGUAGCUGACGCACUUUAUUUCUCGGCGGGAAAGGGAUUCCCCCUCUCCCCCGAGCCCCCUCACCCCCUUUUAAGGUGAAGGCCUUACUCAAUUCCUAUCGGAAUUGCGGCCUUCCUCGGAGAAGAAAGAGAUUUAUAUAAAGCUACCGGGGGGCCUUCCCCCGGACCCCCUUCUCUGGCUGGAACCUGGAAAGCUAUACUUUCCGGUUCUGGUUCCGGAAAUGAGCUCCCUCAUUUCCUCUUUUUCGUCCAAUCCUAUUCCUAUUCUCUUACUUCCCAUAUAAAUAUAAAUCUGAUGCUUCACCACAAUUCUGAUUAUGAUGGCUCCCCCUUAAUAAUCCCCCUGGGUGGUGAAUCAGAGAGAUACCGGCCCUCGCCCCUCCUUUGUUAGAGUUUGUUAAGGAGGGGCAAUGGAUUACUUGCGUUAAAACACCUAUUAAAACACAAAAGCCUCCAGAGGCCCUUCUUUUGCGUUUUAACGCAAGUGUCUCCCUUCUUUAAAGGGUCCCCCCUUGGGGUCCCCCUAAAGUAAGUUUCCCUGUAGGAAACUUUAGGCUACAAGAAGUUUUGGCAUUUGAGAUGCCAAUAUUGGCUUCGCCAGGCCAUCGAGAUUCAAAUAUUUUCUUUUUGAAUCUCGUGCAAACUCGGACCCUAAUUAAGGUAAAGGCCUUACUCUAUUCCUGUCGGAAUAGCGGCCUUGGAAGAGGGAUACCUUUUUGGUUUUAAGCCUGGGUGGGUUCCCCUCCGUGGUACCAGAUACUCGGGUCCCACUCCGGCCCCGCUUCGCUCUUUUCUUUAUCUCAGGUGUUCCAAUUCGGAAAAUUGCAUAAGUGAUCACUGAACCUUCGUUUGGCCUGUUUGGGUGACUCGUUAAUGAUGUGGCAUCUGUCCAAUCACGUGAGUUUAUUCACGGACAAUAGCUCUCGAGGAGCAUUGGUUCGCAGACAAGUGAAGACAGGACGGCAGUGGUCGAGGAUAAAUCACUACUCUGUGAAGUCCUCGAUGAGUAUAAAAGGGGUGGAAACUCCUCUCAUCAGCCAAGGUUGACCGACGGUGGCUCCAUACCAGGGAAUCGAGGGAUUCUUAAGGAGGGAAAGCUGACCAGAAUUCGUGUUGUGUUGAUUUAUAGAUUGGUUGGGAAACGGAUUGGAAAAAAGGAAAGGAACGCAAAAACGCGCUUUUUUUGGAAAUGGUAGCUGACGCACUUUAUUUCUCGGCGGGAAAGGGAUUCCCCCUCUCCCCCGAGCCCCCUCACCCCCUUUUAAGGUGAAGGCCUUACUCAAUUCCUAUCGGAAUUGCGGCCUUCCUCGGAGAAGAAAGAGAUUUAUAUAAAGCUACCGGGGGGCCUUCCCCCGGACCCCCUUCUCUGGCUGGAACCUGGAAAGCUAUACUUUCCGGUUCUGGUUCCGGAAAUGAGCUCCCUCAUUUCCUCUUUUUCGUCCAAUCCUAUUCCUAUUCUCUUACUUCCCAUAUAAAUAUAAAUCUGAUGCUUCACCACAAUUCUGAUUAUGAUGGCUCCCCCUUAAUAAUCCCCCUGGGUGGUGAAUCAGAGAGAUACCGGCCCUCGCCCCUCCUUUGUUAGAGUUUGUUAAGGAGGGGCAAUGGAUUACUUGCGUUAAAACACCUAUUAAAACACAAAAGCCUCCAGAGGCCCUUCUUUUGCGUUUUAACGCAAGUGUCUCCCUUCUUUAAAGGGUCCCCCCUUGGGGUCCCCCUAAAGUAAGUUUCCCUGUAGGAAACUUUAGGCUACAAGAAGUUUUGGCAUUUGAGAUGCCAAUAUUGGCUUCGCCAGGCCAUCGAGAUUCAAAUAUUUUCUUUUUGAAUCUCGUGCAAACUCGGACCCUAAUUAAGGUAAAGGCCUUACUCUAUUCCUGUCGGAAUAGCGGCCUUGGAAGAGGGAUACCUUUUUGGUUUUAAGCCUGGGUGGGUUCCCCUCCGUGGUACCAGAUACUCGGGUCCCACUCCGGCCCCGCUUCGCUCUUUUCUUUAUCUCAGGUGUUCCAAUUCGGAAAAUUGCAUAAGUGAUCA
This 2710-nucleotide long non-coding RNA is filed under the name Citrus x clementina. Its description in RNAcentral is "Citrus clementina (C. clementina) long non-coding RNA (CCLE_LNC005129)". The record is from RNAcentral. Lineage: Eukaryota; Viridiplantae; Streptophyta; Magnoliopsida; Sapindales; Rutaceae.